UACGGGGGGGGCAAGCGUUGUUCGGAAUUACUGGGCGUAAAGGGUUUGUAGGUGGCUUGCUAAGUCAGACGUGAAAUCCCUCAGCUUAACUGGGGAACUGCGUCUGAUACUGGCGAGCUUGAGUGCAGGAGAGGAACGCGGAAUUCCAGGUGUAGCGGUGAAAUGCGUAGAUAUCUGGAGGAACACCGGUGGCGAAGGCGGCGUUCUGGCCUGUUCUUGACGCUGAGGCGCGAAAGCUAGGGGAGCAAACGGG
Molecule: ribosomal RNA, 253 nt
Filed under: uncultured bacterium
Lineage: Bacteria
Description: partial 16S ribosomal RNA
Rfam family: Bacterial small subunit ribosomal RNA
Source: RNAcentral